RNAcentral lists this ribosomal RNA (331 nucleotides) under Escherichia coli. Its description in RNAcentral is "bacterial LSU rRNA". It matches the Rfam family "Bacterial large subunit ribosomal RNA", at positions 2612 to 2925 of the family's 2925-position model. Lineage: Bacteria; Pseudomonadati; Pseudomonadota; Gammaproteobacteria; Enterobacterales; Enterobacteriaceae. The record is from RNAcentral.
UAGAACGUCGUGAGACAGUUCGGUCCCUAUCUGCCGUGGGCGCUGGAGAACUGAGGGGGGCUGCUCCUAGUACGAGAGGACCGGAGUGGACGCAUCACUGGUGUUCGGGUUGUCAUGCCAAUGGCACUGCCCGGUAGCUAAAUGCGGAAGAGAUAAGUGCUGAAAGCAUCUAAGCACGAAACUUGCCCCGAGAUGAGUUCUCCCUGACUCCUUGAGAGUCCUGAAGGAACGUUGAAGACGACGACGUUGAUAGGCCGGGUGUGUAAGCGCAGCGAUGCGUUGAGCUAACCGGUACUAAUGAACCGUGAGGCUUAACCUUACAACGCCGAAG